RNAcentral lists this ribosomal RNA (2932 nucleotides) under Citrobacter sp. CF971. RNAcentral's name for it is "23S ribosomal RNA". It matches the Rfam family "Bacterial large subunit ribosomal RNA". Lineage: Bacteria; Pseudomonadati; Pseudomonadota; Gammaproteobacteria; Enterobacterales; Enterobacteriaceae. The record is from RNAcentral.
GGGUUGUGAGGUUAAGCGACUAAGCGUACACGGUGGAUGCCCUGGCAGUCAGAGGCGAUGAAGGACGUGCUAAUCUGCGAUAAGCGUCGGUAAGGUGAUAUGAACCGUUAUAACCGGCGAUUUCCGAAUGGGGAAACCCAGUGUGUUUCGACACACUAUCAUUACGUGAAUACAUAGCGUAAUGAAGCGAACCGGGGAACUGAAACAUCUAAGUACCCCGAGGAAAAGAAAUCAACCGAGAUUCCCCCAGUAGCGGCGAGCGAACGGGGAGCAGCCCAGAGUCUGAAUCAGCUUGUGUGUUAGUGGAACGGUCUGGAAAGUCCGACGGUACAGGGUGAUAGUCCCGUACACCAAAAUGCACAGGUUGUGAACUCGAAGAGUAGGGCGGGACACGUGGUAUCCUGUCUGAAUAUGGGGGACCAUCCUCCAAGGCUAAAUACUCCUGACUGACCGAUAGUGAACCAGUACCGUGAGGGAAAGGCGAAAAGAACCCCGGCGAGGGGAGUGAAAAAGAACCUGAAACCGUGUACGUACAAGCAGUGGGAGCCUCUUUAUGGGGUGACUGCGUACCUUUUGUAUAAUGGGUCAGCGACUUAUAUUCUGUAGCAAGGUUAACCGUAUAGGGGAGCCGAAGGGAAACCGAGUCUUAACUGGGCGUUAAGUUGCAGGGUAUAGACCCGAAACCCGGUGAUCUAGCCAUGGGCAGGUUGAAGGUUGGGUAACACUAACUGGAGGACCGAACCGACUAAUGUUGAAAAAUUAGCGGAUGACUUGUGGCUGGGGGUGAAAGGCCAAUCAAACCGGGAGAUAGCUGGUUCUCCCCGAAAGCUAUUUAGGUAGCGCCUCGUGAAUUCAUCUUCGGGGGUAGAGCACUGUUUCGGCUAGGGGGUCAUCCCGACUUACCAACCCGAUGCAAACUGCGAAUACCGAAGAAUGUUAUCACGGGAGACACACGGCGGGUGCUAACGUCCGUCGUGAAGAGGGAAACAACCCAGACCGCCAGCUAAGGUCCCAAAGUCAUGGUUAAGUGGGAAACGAUGUGGGAAGGCACAGACAGCCAGGAUGUUGGCUUAGAAGCAGCCAUCAUUUAAAGAAAGCGUAAUAGCUCACUGGUCGAGUCGGCCUGCGCGGAAGAUGUAACGGGGCUAAACCAUGCACCGAAGCUGCGGCAGCGACACUAUGUGUUGUUGGGUAGGGGAGCGUUCUGUAAGCCGUUGAAGGUGUACUGUGAGGUAUGCUGGAGGUAUCAGAAGUGCGAAUGCUGACAUAAGUAACGAUAAUGCGGGUGAAAAACCCGCACGCCGGAAGACCAAGGGUUCCUGUCCAACGUUAAUCGGGGCAGGGUGAGUCGACCCCUAAGGCGAGGCCGAAAGGCGUAGUCGAUGGGAAACAGGUUAAUAUUCCUGUACUUGGUGUUACUGCGAAGGGGGGACGGAGAAGGCUAUGUUAGCCGGGCGACGGUUGUCCCGGUUUAAGCAUGUAGGCGGAGGUUCCAGGUAAAUCCGGUACCUUUUUAACGCUGAGGUGUGAUGACGAGGCACUACGGUGCUGAAGUAACAAAUGCCCUGCUUCCAGGAAAAGCCUCUAAGCAUCAGGUAACACGAAAUCGUACCCCAAACCGACACAGGUGGUCAGGUAGAGAAUACCAAGGCGCUUGAGAGAACUCGGGUGAAGGAACUAGGCAAAAUGGUGCCGUAACUUCGGGAGAAGGCACGCUGAUAUGUAGGUGAAGCGGUUUACCCGUGGAGCUGAAAUCAGUCGAAGAUACCAGCUGGCUGCAACUGUUUAUUAAAAACACAGCACUGUGCAAACACGAAAGUGGACGUAUACGGUGUGACGCCUGCCCGGUGCCGGAAGGUUAAUUGAUGGGGUUAUCCGUAAGGAGAAGCUCUUGAUCGAAGCCCCGGUAAACGGCGGCCGUAACUAUAACGGUCCUAAGGUAGCGAAAUUCCUUGUCGGGUAAGUUCCGACCUGCACGAAUGGCGUAAUGAUGGCCAGGCUGUCUCCACCCGAGACUCAGUGAAAUUGAACUCGCUGUGAAGAUGCAGUGUACCCGCGGCAAGACGGAAAGACCCCGUGAACCUUUACUAUAGCUUGACACUGAACACUGGUCCUUGAUGUGUAGGAUAGGUGGGAGGCUUUGAAAUGUGGACGCCAGUCUGCAUGGAGCCAUCCUUGAAAUACCACCCUUUAAUGGCUGGUGUUCUAACGUGGACCCGUUACCCGGGUUGCGGACAGUGUCUGGUGGGUAGUUUGACUGGGGCGGUCUCCUCCUAAAGAGUAACGGAGGAGCACGAAGGUUAGCUAAUCCUGGUCGGACAUCAGGAGGUUAGUGCAAAGGCAUAAGCUAGCUUGACUGCGAGAGUGACGGCUCGAGCAGGUGCGAAAGCAGGUCUUAGUGAUCCGGUGGUUCUGAAUGGAAGGGCCAUCGCUCAACGGAUAAAAGGUACUCCGGGGAUAACAGGCUGAUACCGCCCAAGAGUUCAUAUCGACGGCGGUGUUUGGCACCUCGAUGUCGGCUCAUCACAUCCUGGGGCUGAAGUAGGUCCCAAGGGUAUGGCUGUUCGCCAUUUAAAGUGGUACGCGAGCUGGGUUUAGAACGUCGUGAGACAGUUCGGUCCCUAUCUGCCGUGGGCGCUGGAGAAUUGAGGGGGGCUGCUCCUAGUACGAGAGGACCGGAGUGGACGCAUCACUGGUGUUCGGGUUGUCAUGCCAAUGGCAUUGCCCGGUAGCUAAAUGCGGAAGAGAUAAGUGCUGAAAGCAUCUAAGCACGAAACUUGCCCCGAGAUGAGUUCUCCCUGAGACUAUAAGUCUCCUGAAGGAACGUUAAAGACGAUGACGUUGAUAGGUCGGGUGUGUAAGUGUAGCGAUACAUUGAGCUAACCGAUACUAAUGAACCGUGAGGCUUAACCUUACAACGCCGAAGGUGUUU